This is a long non-coding RNA of Centruroides sculpturatus (bark scorpion), 654 nucleotides long. RefSeq lists it as uncharacterized. The record is from RefSeq and is a predicted model, not a curated record. The transcript has 3 exons. NCBI's taxonomy places the organism in Eukaryota, Metazoa, Arthropoda, Arachnida, Scorpiones, Buthidae.
UGUUAAAUACAGGAAUAUUCUAAACUAUAUUAAAAGUGGCAUGUAUAAAUGUAUACCCUACCGCAUCGACCGUUUAUUAUGUAAGAUAAGGAAGUUUCGGAACAAAGUUUUGUUUGCUUACAGAUGAAAGGACUCGUGCUAUUUCAUUACUUCUUUCCUUUUGUCAAAAUAUAAGCAAUAGUACGAUCUAGACCAACUAAUUACUCUUGUCUCUUCGAUUUAUUUUUUAUUUUUUAAAAUCCAGCAACGAGUUACAAAAUUUUCCCGGCUUCACCACGAAAGUUUGCAACAUGCUCUUUUGUUGGACUCCAUUCGCCGAAAUGUUAUGCCGCUUCAAGUUUUUCCCCACCUUUUUUGGAGAAGAUUUCCUAGGACACGUUUCAUUAUUAUUAUUAUUACUAUCAAUAGAUAUCCCCGUCAAGUAUGACUGAAUGCUUUUUUGAGAAAGUAUAAAUUGAAGGAUAAAAAAUCUAACUUGAUUGACAAGAAAAAAGGACUAAUCUGGAAAGAAGACAAAUCCAGUUUAUAUUCUGGAACAGUUUUGGCUAAAUAUGUAAAUAUUGACUUAAGUGAUCGAAUAAAGGACAGAUAUUCUGCGAGAAUUUAUUAUAUUCUUAAUAUACAAUAUCUUAUUUAAUUACUGUUUUUAGUGGU